AUGAUCAGGAGAUUACAGUUGCCGAGUUCAAAAAAAAAUGUUGGCGUCGAUUUCUUUAGGAGGCGCUUGCACCCUCCGCUGCUGGAUCAGUGGGGGGAAGUCAAGCGAGUGGUUGGUUCAUGGUUACUCUCCAAUGAGCCGGACCAAGUAGUCUGGAAUCUUGGGAAGAAUAAACGCUUCACAGCUAAGUCUGUAUACGCAUACAUGAAAAAGCAUCUAGCUGGCUGUGAUUAUAGAUGGAUAUGGAAAGCUAAACUCCCUCUUAAGAUUCAAAUAUUUUUAUGGCAAUUAUUCCAGGAUGUUGUGUACACGAGAUGUCAUGAGCAGACGAAACUGGGUUGGAAACCCGAAGUGCUCCUUUUGUAUGGAUAG
Molecule: ribosomal RNA, 372 nt
Filed under: Triticum aestivum (bread wheat)
Lineage: Eukaryota; Viridiplantae; Streptophyta; Magnoliopsida; Poales; Poaceae
Description: partial small subunit ribosomal RNA
Source: RNAcentral